UACGUAGGGGGCGAGCGUUGUCCGGAAUCAUUGGGCGUAAAGCGCGUGUAGGCGGCCCGAUAAGUCCGCUGUGAAAGUCCAGGGCUCAACCCUGGGAUGCCGGUGGAUACUGUCGGGCUCGAGUCCGGAAGAGGCGAGUGGAAUUCCUGGUGUAGCGGUGAAAUGCGCAGAUAUCAUGAGGAACACCAAUGGCGAAGGCAGCUCGCUGGGCUAACACUGACGCUCAGGCACGAAAGCGUGGGGAGCAAACAGG
This 253-nucleotide ribosomal RNA is filed under the name uncultured bacterium. RNAcentral describes it as "partial 16S ribosomal RNA". It matches the Rfam family "Bacterial small subunit ribosomal RNA", at positions 524 to 776 of the family's 1533-position model. The record is from RNAcentral.